UAGCUCAGUGGUAGAGCAUGUGACUGCAGAUCAUAUGGUCCCCGGUUCAAUCCCGGG
This is a non-coding RNA of Strongyloides papillosus, 57 nucleotides long. The record is from Rfam. NCBI's taxonomy places the organism in Eukaryota, Metazoa, Nematoda, Chromadorea, Rhabditida, Strongyloididae.